GAUGAACGCUGGCGGCGUGCCUAAUACAUGCAAGUCGAGCGAACGGACGAGAAGCUUGCUUCUCUGAUGUUAGCGGCGGACGGGUGAGUAACACGUGGAUAACCUACCUAUAAGACUGGGAUAACUUCGGGAAACCGGAGCUAAUACCGGAUAAUAUUUUGAACCGCAUGGUUCAAAAGUGAAAGACGGUCUUGCUGUCACUUAUAGAUGGAUCCGCGCUGCAUUAGCUAGUUGGUAAGGUAACGGCUUACCAAGGCAACGAUGCAUAGCCGACCUGAGAGGGUGAUCGGCCACACUGGAACUGAGACACGGUCCAGACUCCUACGGGAGGCAGCAGUAGGGAAUCUUCCGCAAUGGGCGAAAGCCUGACGGAGCAACGCCGCGUGAGUGAUGAAGGUCUUCGGAUCGUAAAACUCUGUUAUUAGGGAAGAACAUAUGUGUAAGUAACUGUGCACAUCUUGACGGUACCUAAUCAGAAAGCCACGGCUAACUACGUGCCAGCAGCCGCGGUAAUACGUAGGUGGCAAGCGUUAUCCGGAAUUAUUGGGCGUAAAGCGCGCGUAGGCGGUUUUUUAAGUCUGAUGUGAAAGCCCACGGCUCAACCGUGGAGGGUCAUUGGAAACUGGAAAACUUGAGUGCAGAAGAGGAAAGUGGAAUUCCAUGUGUAGCGGUGAAAUGCGCAGAGAUAUGGAGGAACACCAGUGGCGAAGGCGACUUUCUGGUCUGUAACUGACGCUGAUGUGCGAAAGCGUGGGGAUCAAACAGGAUUAGAUACCCUGGUAGUCCACGCCGUAAACGAUGAGUGCUAAGUGUUAGGGGGUUUCCGCCCCUUAGUGCUGCAGCUAACGCAUUAAGCACUCCGCCUGGGGAGUACGACCGCAAGGCUGAAACUCAAAGGAAUUGACGGGGACCCGCACAAGCGGUGGAGCAUGUGGUUUAAUUCGAAGCAACGCGAAGAACCUUACCAAAUCUUGACAUCCUUUGACAACUCUAGAGAUAGAGCCUUCCCCUUCGGGGGACAAAGUGACAGGUGGUGCAUGGUUGUCGUCAGCUCGUGUCGUGAGAUGUUGGGUUAAGUCCCGCAACGAGCGCAACCCUUAAGCUUAGUUGCCAUCAUUAAGUUGGGCACUCUAAGUUGACUGCCGGUGACAAACCGGAGGAAGGUGGGGAUGACGUCAAAUCAUCAUGCCCCUUAUGAUUUGGGCUACGCACGUGCUACAAUGGACAAUACAAAGGGCAGCGAAACCGCGAGGUCAAGCAAAUCCCAUAAAGUUGUUCUCAGUUCGGAUUGUAGUCUGCAACUCGACUACAUGAAGCUGGAAUCGCUAGUAAUCGUAGAUCAGCAUGCUACGGUGAAUACGUUCCCGGGUCU
Molecule: ribosomal RNA, 1372 nt
Filed under: uncultured bacterium
Lineage: Bacteria
Description: bacterial SSU rRNA
Rfam family: Bacterial small subunit ribosomal RNA
Source: RNAcentral